RNAcentral lists this long non-coding RNA (357 nucleotides) under Medicago truncatula (barrel medic). Its description in RNAcentral is "long non-coding RNA (MTRU_LNC006709)". The record is from RNAcentral. Lineage: Eukaryota; Viridiplantae; Streptophyta; Magnoliopsida; Fabales; Fabaceae.
UUCAUUAGCCAGAAGUGAGUUAGAGACUCAAAAGGACCCAAUCAUCAAUCGAACUGAAAAUACAAGUACUGAGGCAGCGCAUCAGCAAGGACUGGGAUCCACCUGUAAUAACGUUGGCAAAGCAGUUGGCAACACCAUCACUUCAACACCUAUGGUCCCUUGCAACACCGUCACUUCAACAACUUUGAUCCCUUGCAACACUAUUACUUCAACACCUUUGGUCCCUUGCAACACCAUCACUUCAACGCCUUCGGUCCCUUGCAACACUGUCACAUCAACAACACCUUUGGUCCCUUGCAGUCUUGUUUCGGAAAAUGGGGAAAUUAAGCCGAAGGUCGAACAAUAGAUAGAGAAGGA